Molecule: ribosomal RNA, 442 nt
Filed under: uncultured bacterium
Lineage: Bacteria
Description: partial 16S ribosomal RNA
Rfam family: Bacterial small subunit ribosomal RNA
Source: RNAcentral
CCUACGGGAGGCAGCAGUGGGGAAUAUUGGGCAAUGGGCGCAAGCCUGACCCAGCAACGCCGCGUGAAGGAAGAAGGCUUUCGGGUUGUAAACUUCUUUUAAGGGGGAAGAGCAGAAGACGGUACCCCUUGAAUAAGCCACGGCUAACUACGUGCCAGCAGCCGCGGUAAUACGUAGGUGGCAAGCGUUGUCCGGAUUUACUGGGUGUAAAGGGCGUGCAGCCGGAGAGACAAGUCAGAUGUGAAAUCCACGGGCUCAACCCGUGAACUGCAUUUGAAACUGUUUCCCUUGAGUGUCGGAGAGGUAAUCGGAAUUCCUUGUGUAGCGGUGAAAUGCGUAGAUAUAAGGAAGAACACCAGUGGCGAAGGCGGAUUACUGAACGAUAACUGACGGUGAGGCGCGAAAGCGUGGGGAGCAAACAGGAUUAGAUACCCCUGUAGUC